UGUUGUAGCAGGACAUAGCAAAAUGAUAAAGAAGCUAACAAUCACACAGAAGGAAGCUUAAAAAGUAAAGAAUCACUCACAAAGAAUGACAAAUAAGGGCAAUAACACCAGAAGUAAGCAACAGGAAAUAAGCAUUUAACUAGUAGAAAGUGUUUAACAAUUACAUAAGCCAAGACAUAUAUUGUGCAACUAAUCUGAA
RNAcentral lists this long non-coding RNA (199 nucleotides) under Lathyrus oleraceus (garden pea). RNAcentral describes it as "Pisum sativum (pea) long non-coding RNA (PSAT_LNC009858)". Lineage: Eukaryota; Viridiplantae; Streptophyta; Magnoliopsida; Fabales; Fabaceae. The record is from RNAcentral.